GCACAAAAACAAAAUCCAAGCUAUGCACCCAACCUCAGUGGUUGUUCUUGUCUUCAUCAAGCAAGUUUUCAGGGAGAUUUGGUAGCAGUGAAACAAUUGUUGGACAAGGGGAUUGAUGUUAAUGUGGAAGGAUCUGGUGGUCUCACUCCCUUGCACCUUGCUUGCUUAGGAGGUCACUUGAAUGUUGUGGAGAAGCUUAUAAGCUGUGGUGCAAACCUAAUAGCACAAGAUAGACUCAAAUU
Molecule: long non-coding RNA, 242 nt
Organism: Anneissia japonica
Lineage: Eukaryota; Metazoa; Echinodermata; Crinoidea; Comatulida; Comatulidae
Exons: 3
Source: RefSeq, a predicted model, not a curated record